GAUUCCCUUAGUUACUGCGAGUGAAGAGGGAAAAGCUCAAAUUUAAAAUCUGGUAGUCAAUUGGCUGCUUGAAUUGUAAUCUAGAGAAGUAUUAUCCGUGCUGGACCAUAGUAUAAGUCUCCUGGAAUGGGGCAUCAUAGAGGGUGAGAAUCCCGUCUUUGACAAUGGACUUCCAGUGCAUUGUGAUAUACUCUCAACGAGUCGAGUUGUUUGGGAAUGCAGCUCUAAAUGGGUGGUAAAUUCCAUCUAAAGCUAAAUAUUGGCGAGAGACCGAUAGUGAACAAGUACCGUGAGGGAAAGAUGAAAAGAACUUUGAAAAGAGAGUUAAACAGUACGUGAAAUUGUUGAAAGGGAAACGCUUGAAGUCAGUCACAUUAAUUGGAAAUCAACUUUGCUUUUGCUUGGUGUACUUUCUGAUUUAAUGGGUCAGCAUCAAUUUUAAUCAGUGGAAAAAGAUUGUAGGGAAUGUGGCAUCCUCGGAUGUGUUUAUAGCCCUCUGUUGUAUACAUUGAUUAGGAUUGAGGAAUUCAGCACGCCGAAAGGCCAGGUUUUAACCAUGUACGUGCUUAGGAUGCUGGCAUAAUGGCUUUAAUCGACCCGUCUUGAAACACGGACCAAGGAGUCUAACAUGCCUGCAAGUGUUUGAGUGGAAAACUCAUGCGCAUAAUGAAAGUGAAAAUUGGGAUCUCUUAUAGAGAGCACUGAUGCCUGGACCAGACCUUUUGUGACGGAUCCACGGUUGAGCAUGUAUGUUGGGACCCGAAAGAUGGUGAACUAUGCCUGAAUAGGGUGAAGCCAGAGGAAACUCUGGUGGAAGCUCGCAGCGAUUCUGACGUGCAAAUCGAUCGU
RNAcentral lists this ribosomal RNA (849 nucleotides) under Entoloma acutopallidum. RNAcentral describes it as "partial large subunit ribosomal RNA". It matches the Rfam family "Eukaryotic large subunit ribosomal RNA", at positions 73 to 905 of the family's 3401-position model. Lineage: Eukaryota; Fungi; Basidiomycota; Agaricomycetes; Agaricales; Entolomataceae. The record is from RNAcentral.